UUACCCAGUGAGUCAUAGGAAACCAUUUACUUCCCCAUCUUUCCACUGACCUGCCUAAAGGAUGAUAAUUACCAAGCUGACCAAACACAGAACAAAGUUUGUUUCCAAUGAGGCAUACAUACAUUGAAAUGGAGCUAUGCACCCAGCAGAAGGAAGCUUGAAAUAGAAAUAUCCAGAAAAGAUGUGCUGCUGAGACUCCAUCUUUAGCCUCAUGCAUUAUGCCUUUGUUUUAAAAGAUACAGAAAUCUAAGCAAGGAACUGGAACAAUUUGCUCUGGGCUGGUGACAAAUCCUGUAGGCUGUGCCACGUCCGCACCGGGGAACUGAACCGGUGAACCCUGGGCCACCAAAGUGGAACAUGAGAACUUAACCACUGCGCCACCAGGCCGGCCCCAACCUGGGACCUUCUUAUCCUACUCAGGAUCCUCCCUAUGCAAGGCACCCAUUGUCUCCUGCGGCCUGGUGGAAAACAUCCACAGCAUAGGAUGGAUCAUGCUUACUCAACUCUGGCUGGGAUAAAAUGGUUUUAGCUGGGAUAAAGCCUCAUUGUUAACUUCAGAAUAGGUAGCAUCUCAAUUCUAGAAUGAAGCUAAAAUUCCUUUCUUUCUAUCGUCAGCCACUAUCCAGGUCACUUCUUCCAGAAGUCCCUGUCUGCCCCCUACCCACUUGACUUUGGUCCAAAGGUCCUCUAACUAGGCCACAGAAUAGGCUUUCUGAAGGCACUGCAAAAUAUGUGAGUCAUAAGGAGCCACUGCCAACGGCCUCUUCAGAGGGUGUCAAGAAAUUAUGAGCUGUUUCUUUUCUAUUUUUUAUCCAAUUAUUAAUAUUCCUGCCAGGACCCAGCAAUGCCUUCUUGCUUUUUCUCCCUUGGGUAAUCUCUUUCAUCUCCUUCUUUCCACUCUAUUUUUUCCUUCUGCUGUAUACCCUGAUCUAUUUAUUUCCUCCAUUGCCAUUCAGUGUCUGCUUUCCUUUGGGCAAUUGUCCUGAAUUAUUUAAUAGUUGUUCUAUUAUUUUUUCCUGUUCACUCCUUCCCCUUAUUUUCUUCUCUUUUUUGGUUUUUCUAGGUUUCCUUCUGCUCUAGUAUACAAUUCAUCCAGCAAUCCUUUUCUUUCUAAACCAUAAAUCAUGGUGGGCAAGAUUGUGUGCGGACACCAGGCAGGAGAGAUGUGGCACCAGGUGGGUGGGCAGGGGAGGAGCAUGCAUCAGUGACUUGCUUUUAGGAGGUAACAGAUUUGAUCAUUUUUCAGGAAACACAGCAGGCAGCCUGUAAUUAGCAAUGAAGAUUCAUCCUUCCAUCAUUUUUGCUGGACUGUGCAGAACUUGGGUUCACUGUGUCUGCAGUUUUCAAACUUUUCUACUGAGCCUUUCUCCUGGUAGCUCUGGGUCAAAAUAAAAGGAAACUAAUUUUAUC
Molecule: long non-coding RNA, 1410 nt
Organism: Equus caballus (horse)
Lineage: Eukaryota; Metazoa; Chordata; Mammalia; Perissodactyla; Equidae
Source: Ensembl